Long non-coding RNA from Hirundo rustica (Barn swallow), 2718 nucleotides. RefSeq lists it as uncharacterized. The record is from RefSeq and is a predicted model, not a curated record. NCBI's taxonomy places the organism in Eukaryota, Metazoa, Chordata, Aves, Passeriformes, Hirundinidae. The transcript is spliced from 3 exons.
GCUGCUGUGAGGAGGAAGGGACAGGAGGUUGUGCAAGGGACAGAAAGGAUGAGAUGUCGUAUGAGGGACAGACAGGGUUAGGUUGGCCCUGCUAGGGACAGGAAGGAGUGAGCUGGAGCUGCAGAAGGAACAGAGAAGACUUCAGAGAAAGCGCUGGAGCUGUGUGGAGCUGCCCUUGGGAGGAUACAGAGAAGAGAGCCAGCUGCUAGGAGAAGCCCCCAUCCGCUGCAUAUGCCUCUUCAGGCUUCAGCGGCUGUAGUGGGACGAUGCCUACCUGCUUGUCUCCACCAGCAUAGCCCUGUGCUUUGGGAAGACAUUUUGGAGGACACCUGGUAUCGUACCUGGAUGCCGGGUGUAAGUUGUGAAGUUACAAAUACCUUCCCAGGAAGAUGCCUCUAAUGUUGAAGAAAAUAAGCUUCCAUUACAGAAACACUGGUUCCAUUCCAUGGGAAUUAUGAAUACAACCUGGGUGCAUGAAAAAGCUGUAGGGGGAAUAACAUCUCAACACAAAAGCUUCAGAGGUAUUCUCAGAAGGUCCCCGUAGCACAUCCUUGGCACUAAGGAUGUACAUAUUGUACAAAGCACCUUUGUGUCUCUAUUAACACAAGGGCUGUCCAAAUAAGCUCUUAAAGCUGCCAAAAGAGAUUUGAUUGCCUCCUCUUCUUAUGGAGCAUCUUGGGCAGAAACUAGAAGCAAAGCCAAAUGCGGAGUUUCUGUUGACAUUGCUAAUUUUUCUUCUUCUUGUUUUAUUGACAAGGACAUAGAAAACAGCUCAUUGCUAUCCUUAUGGUAAGAAGAUUUUGUAUGUGGCACAGUCCUUCAGGUUCUCCACUUUCUCUUUUUCCAGCCUCUGAGAAGCCACUUCUACAGGAUUGCUGCCCAGUGGGUCUCACUUUGUGUUUGCAGAUUCUCACAGCUGCCUCAUGGCAGGUCGUCCCAUGCCUCUGCUGAAACUCAUCCUGUUGACUGGGAUUGCUUCUCCAAAUUAUCAACCAUUCACAUCCUACCCUAUAUAGGUGCUGACAGACACCUCCCCCAGGCCCCCCAGGACCCCACCCCCUGUUGAGUAUCACCAGGAAAAUUUAUAGUAAAGCAAUUUCCAAAAGUUACUGCUGAAAAUACAGAAUAGAUCUGGACUCUGGGCCAUCACUGGGACGAUUUCUCCAGAAAGCUCUCUGACUUUGACACUGAAUUGAACGUAUUGUGAAUCUAAAUAGGCUGCGGUUCCUCGGUUUGCGUACGAGAAUGUCUUCUGGGACAGUGCCAGAAGCCUCUCCAAAGUCAAGACAUAUCACAUCCAGUGCUGUUCCCCCCUAGCCAUGAGGCAAGUUAUCCUGUCAAAGAACGGAAUCAAAUUAGUUUGAAACGAUUUGUCCUUAGUGAAACCUCAACAACCCCAUUCCUGCCAUUUAUUUACAAAUUUAUAAAUCUUUAAGGGAUUAGAGAAUAACUGGUCAGUAGCUUGCUCUUUUAGGUUUUCACAGAGCGGUAUCAGGUCUGUAAUUCUCUAGGUUUUUCUUCAUCACCAGUUUGGUGAUGUUGCCAUGCUCUCUUUAAGUCCCCUGGCAGCUCAUGUGUAGUCUGCAAAGCUCCAACACCCAUCCCACGUUUCAUAUUUUUUCUUCUCAUGCUUCAGGCUGUUGAAGAGCUCUUGAUCCACUUUAUUGAUCUCUACUUAUAUUCCCUUCAUUUCUCUUGCAGCUGGAUAGUUUCUUAUUUGGACUAUGACUCCUUUUAUCAGUGCCCAGAUCUCUUUUAUCAUUUAGGACAUCUCUUCACAGAUCCUGCCUAUGAGUUUUCUGAAUUCAUUUAUAUUUGAUGUUUUGGUUUUUUGGAGUCUAAGUACUUUGAGAUUAACUAAUUUUACAAAGGUCUGGUAUCUAAGUGCAUUUUGAGGAGAAAAAGCUUGCAGCAGACAUCUCAGCACUUGUGUUAGAACCCAGUGCAGAAGGCAAGGGUUCUUGCUAAUCGAUCUCUUGGGGCCAACAGGAGUGAAAUGACACUGAGCAAGGGGUGUUUGUAAAUAUACACAUGUAGGGUCUAUUGUAGAACCAUUUGGUUGCACUGUAACACAGCCAUUUUUGUUAUUGUUAUGUAUAGUAAUACGGCAAUACAAAAGCACAAAAAUACCGCUUAAGAAAAUGGAUAAGAAAAAAAAAGGAAAGGAGUAGACAGGUCACCUGCAGGCCUCACAAUGAGACUUGGUUGUUGCUAUUUUCAUGUCUCUUGGUCAAAGUGAUGGUUUCAGACUGGAUCCAUUGUGUAGUGGGGGGACUCCGGAAGAAGUGGUAGGGAGAAAUCCCCCAAACACAACAUCUGCUGGGUUUAUAUUCACUCCGGUUCAGGUAGGAACACCCAGGUACCUCCCCUGGGGCAGGGAGUUUCAACUGGAUGAUGUAAUGUGGAUCAGUUCAGGAAUCUUUGACACUUUCUAAGACAAUACAUCUGCCUGUAACAUGAGGGAUUUGAGUCCAUUAUGGCCCAUUACAGCCCAUCAGCAGAGAUGAAAACCUACAGGCUAUCUAUGAAUGUCCCAGUACUUCCCCAGCUGGGGAGUUACCACAGCUGAGUUCAUUUGAGUAAAGACAAAGAGACACUAGCCUCCACACAGGGUUUGCCUCUUUCCUUAUCAGAAAAGAGUCGAUACAGUAUCUGGCUGAAGAGAGAGAGCUAUUUCUGAAGUGACUUGGAUGUUCCCACUCUGAGCUGCCAGGUUGU